Non-coding RNA from Leptonychotes weddellii (Weddell seal), 1248 nucleotides. Lineage: Eukaryota; Metazoa; Chordata; Mammalia; Carnivora; Phocidae. The record is from RefSeq and is a predicted model, not a curated record.
AAAAUUCUGAAAACUAAAUUGUUCUUUUAUGUCAAAAUCCUACUUUAGAUACAGUUGGAAGUUCAUUAUCCAAGAUAUUGCAGAUUGGAAUUGUAACCCUGUCAUGUUGCCCUGUCACAUCUAGAAGGAACUGUUCAUUGCCAGAAAGAAAAGCGCCUUCUCCAGCACUCGUGGAUCCCAGUUAGUGGUGUUUACUGAAGUGAGAAAGGAUUUGCAGCUGUUUGGAGCCUGAGUGGCAGAUGAAACCAACUUGGAGACUUCCGGGGCACAAGUAUGAGUUGCAACCCAGAGGCUGUAGGGGGCACAGAUAGCACAUGGGCCACCUCCAUACUCGGAGAGCUGAGAUCUCAGGAUGGGCACACAUCCAGAGGUUUGUCUUUGGGAAAUUCAGGGAUCACCCACUGUACAUCCAGACGCUAGCCUGAAUGGAGAGGAGACGUGCCAUUGCCUUGGAGCAGGGCAGGCUGCAUGGAGAACAAGAAGGCUUCCUGCCUCCUCCAACUUUGGAUACACUGGAAAGCUGGUAAGGUGUGGAAAGUCAGAGUAGGCAUUCAGUGUGACCUGCGGAGCAACUAGACUUUGUAAAACAUGACGUUUCCUCAUGGAAAAACAACAGCCUUGUGGGUGAUUGGACAAACAUCCCCACAGAUGAGAAAUUAAAGCAGAGUAGAGUGGUCAAGGCCCUACCCUAAAUAAGCAAUUAAGGGGGCUAGAACACAGGUCCCACAGUCUCUAGGUCUGGGCCACCUAGGGCUCCACAUACGUAGACAGACACCACGCUGUAGCUUCUUCAGGCUAAGAGUUGUCUCGACCCCUGAUAGAGGUGGUGUCUGCUGCCAACAGAUUUGUCCCUGUGCUAGAGGUGGAAGUCUUACAGUUGAGUGAGGGAGCUCCACCUAAGAAAGUACAUUUUAAUGAGUUGCUAAUUCCUUCUUGUAACAUGGACUGCUUUGUGUGUAACGUAAUACGCUUCUGGAUUUUGGAAAUGAAUAGUCCAAGGGUCCCUUUGGAAUUGCUCCUGAGCAAUUCACUUCUCUGAUUUAGGCCUUUUAUCCUGCACAUGGCCUCUUACUGUUCUUACCACUACUUCAUCCUCCUAGCACCCACUCCCAGCUGGCCCUGACUAAGGAGAGACUAGGUAGGCAGUGGUUUGGAGUGUGGUCUGUGGAGACAGAGGGCCGGGACUCAAACCAUGGUUCUGCUGCUUAUUUGCUGCGUAACCUUGGGCCAGGGCCUUAACAGCAAUGC